RNAcentral lists this ribosomal RNA (519 nucleotides) under uncultured eukaryote. RNAcentral's name for it is "SSU rRNA". It matches the Rfam family "Eukaryotic small subunit ribosomal RNA", at positions 1161 to 1698 of the family's 1831-position model. The record is from RNAcentral.
AGGGCGCCACCAGGAGUGGAGCCUGCGGCUUAAUUUGACUCAACACGGGAAAACUCACCCGGCCCGGACACUGGAAGGAUUGACAGAUUGAGAGCUCUUUCUUGAUUCAGUGGGUGGUGGUGCAUGGCCGUUCUUAGUUGGUGGAGUGAUUUGUCUGGUUAAUUCCGAUAACGAACGAGACUCUAGCCUAUUAAAUAGAUCGUUGGCUUACAAACGCCGGCGAGACUUCUUAGAGGGACAGGCGGCGAUUCAGCCGCACGAAACAGAGCAAUAACAGGUCUGUGAUGCCCUUAGAUGUCCGGGGCCGCACGCGCGCUACACUGAAGUGAUCAGCGUGCAUUUUGAAACCUACUCUGUCAAGAGUGGGGAACCCAAUGAACCUUCUUCGUGAUUGGGAUAGGGGAUUGUAAUUAUUCCCCUUGAACGAGGAAUUCCCAGUAAGCGCGAAUCAUAAGUUUGCGCUGAUUACGUCCCUGCCCUUUGUACACACCGCCCGUCGCUACUACCGAUUGAAUGUUU